UCAUAAUUAGGAGCCAUGUCCCAGUAUCUCUCUCAUAGUAUCAGAGAUUGCUCUCACUGUCACACCCUCUCUGUCAGACGUCUCUCACGCUCUCAAUCUCGAUUUCGCCUCUCUCCAUCUUCGGUCUCACCUUUCUUCAUCUUCGACGACGACAAUGAUCGCACCGAGAUCUGUUCAUCUCAUCCAAGCUGUGGUUCACAAAUAUACAGUAAAUAAGAAAGAGAAGAGUCCUCUCGCUAUGGAAGCAACUGGGUGUUAGUUUUUUGGCCAUGAAGUUGAACAGAGAGCUUGAGUCAGGUCUCAAUCCAACCCCAGAUCUAAUCUUGAGCUGUGGUAUUCACAUGUAAGCUCUAUGAUCUUUUUGGCUUAAUUGUUCAAAUGAUUCGCAGAUAGAGCUGGCAUAGGAUACUACCACAACGGGUAGGUUGCUGGUAGAGCAACAUACAUUAAAAUUGUUCCCAGUGUCAUUGGGAUUAGUUCUUAUUGUUCAUUGCUUUCCAUGUUAACCAAACAAAGAACAAUAAUUUCCUUUGCAUUUGCUCUUCUUUUUUUUUUUUAUUUGCCCUUUCCAAAUCCUGAAUUAAACAGAGCAUCAUCCAUUUGAUUUAUUCUAGUAACAUGUUGUCAACUCAUUGUGAAUUGUUACACUUUCUAAAAGGUUAAACUUCUAUGGAGGGGUGUACCUGCAAAUUUUAACAUGCUUAUAUUUUCAAGUGUUUUUUAUUUUGUUCUUGUCGCAUUUAGUCUUGCCAUUGCUAUCUCCUUCUCUAUAUGGAGCAUUUCAAAGUUCAUUUGUAGUACCUCUUUUACUUUUUGCAGCAUUAUAAUUUCAUCAUCUAGUUCAACAAGCGAAGUGUUUCCUUAUUUGUUUUUUGGGUAACUGCAAGCGAAGUGUUUCCAUCUACUCUUUGCCCCCAUAUUUUUGCUUGCCACCAUGGAAGAAUCCCAUAAUUCCAUGACUUCAUUGUCUAUUGCAACACCUAAAAGCUAAGAAGCACAGACACUUUUAAGAAGGU
This is a non-coding RNA of Camellia sinensis, 1016 nucleotides long. The record is from RefSeq and is a predicted model, not a curated record. Lineage: Eukaryota; Viridiplantae; Streptophyta; Magnoliopsida; Ericales; Theaceae.